GUGUUCACUCAUUUUUUUCUGUUUGUUUACUGUUAUAUCCCUAACACCCAAAACACUGCCUAUCAGUUAAAUGAAUGAAUGAACAAAUAUUGACUAUGUACCUCAUACAGGCCAGGUACUGUGCUAGGUUCAGAAAUGCAGCAAUAAACAAGACCCUGCUUUCAUGGAAAUUGCAGUGCAGAAGACAUUAAACAAAAAUUAUGCAAGUUAACUAUUUAACCGUAAUUGUGAAAAAAGCUAUAAAGGAAAAUCAUAAAGUAUAUGAAAAUAGUAUCUAAUAUUGCUUGAAAAGUCAAAGAAGACUUUUCUGAGGAACUGACAUUUAAGCUAGCACCUAAGACUAAGAUUUAACAAAGGGAAGAGGAAAGAGGGAAACUAUUCCAUGUAGAUAAAACCACAUAUGUGAAGAUCCUGAGGAAGCUAGGUGUGUAUUGUCUUCUAAGAACUGAAAACAAAUCACUUCAGACUAAAGACAACCGAUCAAAUGAGGCUGAAGUAAAAGGCAAAGCUCAGAUUAUGCAGGAGUAUUGUAAAUUUGUAACACUUCUUAUGUAUCUGAUGCCUUCACGUUACCAUGAACAAGCUAUAAACACCCUGCCCAGGCAACCAGGUGCACCAGUAUGAUAAGGCUGGUUCCUGCCACAGGUUCCCCUUUUUGCCAUCACGACUGUGACCUAGUGAUAUUCAAACACUCCAAUGAAAUCCCUUCAUGUCAUUUACUUGUGUACUCCACCCUGACCCCAAUGAAGGCACUUGCCCACAGGUUUCCCCCCUCAUCCUCUCUCCCUCUUCUUAGUUGAGCCCACUCCCUGGGCAUUCCUUCCAUGUGGCCCCCUGCGUGGCAUGCUAUGCCUCUCUCUUCUAGGACCUGUGAACAUAAAAAAUCUCUUUCAUUUUCACAUGCCUCUCCAUAGUGUUUUUCCAUGUCUGCAUCUGACUGAUCAUCAAAACAAAACCAUUUUAAGUGACAAUUAUUCCUCACAACACAAUAGGCUAAAGGGGAUCAAGAUAUGCCUCCUCAAAAUAUGCCAUUUUGGCAUAAGGGUUAUUUUAAACUGAAGGCAAUUGGGAAUCAAUAGAUGUAGAAAGAGCUUUUUGCCAUUCCUUUAGCUGCCUAAACGCAGGGCAUAAAUUGCUCUUUGAGAGGUUUUCUCUCCAACCUCCAGACCAGGAAGAGCAGUGACUCUUAUCACCAGAGGACAGCUGCAAUAGAGAUGAAUUUGCAUAAACGGACCUAAAAUAACCUUUAUCUUCUAUUAGUUCUCCCAUAUAUUUCCUACUCACUUCCCCACAAUUUAUCAUUCCUUGUAGCCCAAAUCUCCUUUUACUAAAAAGGUAAAUAAACCCCAGAGUCUAAUAACCUCUGAGUUUCACUCUUCUGUGAACUCUCCUGCAUGUAAAUAUUUAAAAUUGUGUGCCUUUUCUCCUGUUAAUCUAUCAUUUGUUAUUUUAAUUCACAGGCCCCGAUUUAUUGAACAUAAGACAGUAGAGGAAAAGUUUUUCCUCCUCAUCAAGGGCCUUGUAGACUGUGUUAUGGAUUUUGGACUUCACACCAACAGCAAUGGGAACUAAGGAUCAAGAAUCCAUACAUUAAUCAAGAAGGAUGAAAGACCCAGAAAUUAAACUAAAAGACAAUUUAGAGCACUGCUAACCAGUUUAUUUCUGCUAAAACAAAUUUAAUCCUACUAUGAAGAACAAUUAUUUUAAUCAACCUCCUGCCUCAGAAACUAAAGAAUGGUGACGCAGAAACAAAUCCCACAAUACGAGGAUAUGAAAAUCAAUACCAAAUAAACAUCAAUAUUAUUUUAA
Non-coding RNA from Microcebus murinus (gray mouse lemur), 1809 nucleotides. The record is from RefSeq and is a predicted model, not a curated record. NCBI's taxonomy places the organism in Eukaryota, Metazoa, Chordata, Mammalia, Primates, Cheirogaleidae.